RNAcentral lists this Y RNA (107 nucleotides) under Prolemur simus (greater bamboo lemur). RNAcentral describes it as "Y RNA (ENSPSMG00000023944.1)". It matches the Rfam family "Y RNA". From Rfam's summary of the family: Y RNAs are components of the Ro ribonucleoprotein particle (Ro RNP), in association with Ro60 and La proteins. The record is from Rfam by way of RNAcentral. Lineage: Eukaryota; Metazoa; Chordata; Mammalia; Primates; Lemuridae.
GGCUGGUCCGAAGGUAGUCAGUUAUCUCACUUGAUUGUUCAAGUCAGUUACAGAUUGAACUCCUUUUUCUACUUCCCUUCUCACUACUGCAACUUGACUAGUCUUUC